CCUACGGGAGGCAGCAGUGAGGAAUAUUGGUCAAUGGGCGAGAGCCUGAACCAGCCAAGUCGCGUGAAGGAUGACGGCCCUCCGGGUUGUAAACUUCUUUUGUCAGGGAGCAAUUGAGUCCACGUGUGGGCUUAGCGAGCGUACCUGAAGAAAAAGCAUCGGCUAACUCCGUGCCAGCAGCCGCGGUAAUACGGGGGAUGCGAGCGUUAUCCGGAUUUAUUGGGUUUAAAGGGGGCGUAGGCGGAAUAUCAAGUCAGCGGUAAAAAUUCGGGGCUCAACCCCGUCGUGCCGUUGAAACUGAUGGUCUUGAGUGGGAGAGAAGUAUGCGGAAUGCGUGGUGUAGCGGUGAAAUGCAUAGAUAUCACGAAGAACUCCGAUUGCGAAGGCGGCAUACCGGCGCCCAACUGACGCUGAGGCACGAAAGCGUGGGGAUCGAACAGGAUUAGAUACCCUGGUAGUC
Molecule: ribosomal RNA, 460 nt
Filed under: uncultured bacterium
Lineage: Bacteria
Description: partial 16S ribosomal RNA
Rfam family: Bacterial small subunit ribosomal RNA
Source: RNAcentral